CCUACGGGUGGCAGCAGUGGGGAAUUUUGGACAAUGGGCGCAAGCCUGAUCCAGCCAUGCCGCGUGCAGGAAGAAGGCCUUCGGGUUGUAAACUGCUUUUGUCAGGGAAGAAAAGGCUCCUUCUAAUAAAGGGGGCUCAUGACGGUACCUGAAGAAUAAGCACCGGCUAACUACGUGCCAGCAGCCGCGGUAAUACGUAGGGUGCAAGCGUUAAUCGGAAUUACUGGGCGUAAAGCGUGCGCAGGCGGCUUUGUAAGACAGAGGUGAAAUCCCCGGGCUCAACCUGGGAACUGCCUUUGUGACUGCAAAGCUAGAGUACGGCAGAGGGGGAUGGAAUUCCACGUGUAGCAGUGAAAUGCGUAGAUAUGUGGAGGAACACCGAUGGCGAAGGCAAUCCCCUGGGCCUGUACUGACGCUCAUGCACGAAAGCGUGGGGAGCAAACAGGAUUAGAUACCCGGGUAGUC
Molecule: ribosomal RNA, 465 nt
Filed under: uncultured Burkholderiales bacterium
Lineage: Bacteria; Pseudomonadati; Pseudomonadota; Betaproteobacteria; Burkholderiales
Description: bacterial SSU rRNA
Rfam family: Bacterial small subunit ribosomal RNA
Source: RNAcentral